UACGGGGGGUGCAAGCGUUGUUCGGAAUCAUUGGGCGUAAAGAGCGUGUAGGCGGCUGAGCAAGUCAGAUGUGAAAUCCCUGGGCUUAACCCAGGAAGUGCAUUUGAAACUGUUCAGCUUGAGUAAGGAAGAGGGAAGUGGAAUUCCUGGUGUAGAGGUGAAAUUCGUAGAUAUCAGGAGGAACACCGGUGGCGAAGGCGACUUCCUGGUCCUAUACUGACGCUGAGACGCGAGAGCGUGGGGAGCAAAC
Molecule: ribosomal RNA, 250 nt
Filed under: uncultured bacterium
Lineage: Bacteria
Description: partial 16S ribosomal RNA
Rfam family: Bacterial small subunit ribosomal RNA
Source: RNAcentral